RNAcentral lists this ribosomal RNA (468 nucleotides) under uncultured bacterium. RNAcentral's name for it is "bacterial SSU rRNA". It matches the Rfam family "Bacterial small subunit ribosomal RNA", at positions 58 to 521 of the family's 1533-position model. The record is from RNAcentral.
CAAGUCGAACGGCAGCACGGGGGCAACCCUGGUGGCGAGUGGCGAACGGGUGAGUAAUACAUCGGAACGUGUCCUGUAGUGGGGGAUAGCCCGGCGAAAGCCGGAUUAAUACCGCAUACGCUCUACGGAGGAAAGGGGGGGAUCUUAGGACCUCCCGCUACAGGGGCGGCCGAUGGCAGAUUAGCUAGUUGGUGGGGUAAAGGCCUACCAAGGCGACGAUCUGUAGCUGGUCUGAGAGGACGACCAGCCACACUGGGACUGAGACACGGCCCAGACUCCUACGGGAGGCAGCAGUGGGGAAUUUUGGACAAUGGGCGAAAGCCUGAUCCAGCAAUGCCGCGUGUGUGAAGAAGGCCUUCGGGUUGUAAAGCACUUUUGUCCGGAAAGAAAACCUCGUGGUUAAUACCCGUGGGGGAUGACGGUACCGGAAGAAUAAGCACCGGCUAACUACGUGCCAGCAGCCGCGGU